GAUGAACGCUGGCGGCGUGCCUAAUACAUGCAAGUCGAGCGAACAGACGAGGAGCUUGCUCCUCUGACGUUAGCGGCGGACGGGUGAGUAACACGUGGAUAACCUACCUAUAAGACUGGGAUAACUUCGGGAAACCGGAGCUAAUACCGGAUAAUAUAUUGAACCGCAUGGUUCAAUAGUGAAAGACGGUUUUGCUGUCACUUAUAGAUGGAUCCGCGCCGCAUUAGCUAGUUGGUAAGGUAACGGCUUACCAAGGCAACGAUGCGUAGCCGACCUGAGAGGGUGAUCGGCCACACUGGAACUGAGACACGGUCCAGACUCCUACGGGAGGCAGCAGUAGGGAAUCUUCCGCAAUGGGCGAAAGCUUGACGGAGCAACGCCGCGUGAGUGAUGAAGGUCUUCGGAUCGUAAAACUCUGUUAUUAGGGAAGAACAAAUGUGUAAGUAACUAUGCACGUCUUGACGGGACCUAAUCAGAAGGCCACGGCUAACUACG
RNAcentral lists this ribosomal RNA (495 nucleotides) under uncultured bacterium. RNAcentral's name for it is "partial 16S ribosomal RNA". It matches the Rfam family "Bacterial small subunit ribosomal RNA", at positions 28 to 505 of the family's 1533-position model. The record is from RNAcentral.